This 253-nucleotide ribosomal RNA is filed under the name uncultured bacterium. Its description in RNAcentral is "partial 16S ribosomal RNA". It matches the Rfam family "Bacterial small subunit ribosomal RNA", at positions 524 to 776 of the family's 1533-position model. The record is from RNAcentral.
UACGGGGGGGGCAAGCGUUGUUCGGAAUUACUGGGCGUAAAGGGCUCGUAGGCGGCCAACUAAGUCAGACGUGAAAUCCCCGGGCUUAACCUGGGAACUGCAUUUGUGACUGCACGGCUAGAGUGUGUCAGAGGGGGGUAGAAUUCCACGUGUAGCAGUGAAAUGCGUAGAUAUGUGGAGGAAUACCGAUGGCGAAGGCAGCCCCCUGGGAUAACACUGACGCUCAUGCACGAAAGCGUGGGGAGCAAACAGG